This 236-nucleotide ribosomal RNA is filed under the name Salmonella enterica subsp. enterica serovar Typhimurium. RNAcentral's name for it is "partial 23S ribosomal RNA". It matches the Rfam family "Bacterial large subunit ribosomal RNA", at positions 558 to 796 of the family's 2925-position model. Lineage: Bacteria; Pseudomonadati; Pseudomonadota; Gammaproteobacteria; Enterobacterales; Enterobacteriaceae. The record is from RNAcentral.
GUGUACGUACAAGCAGUGGGAGCACCCUUCGGGGUGUGACUGCGUACCUUUUGUAUAAUGGGUCAGCGACUUAUAUCCUGUAGCAAGGUUAACCGUUUAGGGGAGCCGGAGGGAAACCGAGUCUUACCCGGGCGUUAAGUUGCGGGGUAUAGACCCGAAACCGGGGGAUCUAGCCAUGGGCAGGUUGAAGGUUGGGUAACACUAACUGGAGGACCGAACCGACUAAUGUUGAAAAA